This 70-nucleotide transfer RNA is filed under the name Betaproteobacteria bacterium. Its description in RNAcentral is "tRNA-Pro". It matches the Rfam family "tRNA". Rfam says of the family: Transfer RNA (tRNA) molecules are approximately 80 nucleotides in length. Their secondary structure includes four short double-helical elements and three loops (D, anti-codon, and T loops). Lineage: Bacteria; Pseudomonadati; Pseudomonadota; Betaproteobacteria. The record is from RNAcentral.
UAGCGCAGCCUGGUAGCGUACUUGCAUGGGGUGCAAGGGGUCGUGAGUUCGAAUCUCACCGCUCCGACCA